CAGUCGCCGCGGUAAUACGAAGGGUGCAAGCGUUACUCGGAAUUACUGGGCGUAAAGCGUGUGUAGGUGGUUGUUUAAGUCUGUCGUGAAAGCCCUGGGCUCAACCUGGGAAUUGCGAUGGAUACUGGGCGACUAGAGUGCGGUAGAGGAUAGUGGAAUUUCCGGUGUAGCAGUGAAAUGCGUAGAGAUCGGAAGGAACAUCUGUGGCGAAGGCGACUGACUGGACAAGUAUUGACGCUGAGGUGCGAAAGCGUGGGGAGCAAACAGGAUUAGAUACCCCAGUAGUCCCUGUCUCUUAUAC
Molecule: ribosomal RNA, 301 nt
Filed under: uncultured bacterium
Lineage: Bacteria
Description: partial 16S ribosomal RNA
Rfam family: Bacterial small subunit ribosomal RNA
Source: RNAcentral